RNAcentral lists this long non-coding RNA (4858 nucleotides) under Marmota monax (woodchuck). Lineage: Eukaryota; Metazoa; Chordata; Mammalia; Rodentia; Sciuridae. The record is from RNAcentral.
CUCAGAGGGAGGACGGCACCCUGGUUCAGGUGGCUUCCCUGUGCCGACUUGCUUCUUGCAGGGAGCUCCACCUCUACGUGCCCACUGCCAGUGGACCCUGAGCCGGCACCAUGGAGAGAAGCCUGAGGAACGUCCUCGUGGUCUCCUUUGGAUUCCUCCUCCUCUUCACAGCCUACGGAGGUCUGCAGAACCUGCAGGUAGGUGUGGGCCUUGGAACAUGACCUUGACCUCUAAGCUUGUCCUGCCUCCAGAGCCACAGGCAACAGAUAGUGCAAGGCCAUUUCUUUUGUCAAUGCACCCUAGACUCUCUUCGCCCCGUGCCUCUGAAUUCUCCAGAACAGACUGUGUUUUCAUACAAAACCUGACAGCGUCAGUUCCUGCUUACAUUUCCACGGGCUGUACACUGUUUGACCCUUGGACAAGCAGAGCCAGUGUCUCAAGGGAGUGCUUUGAGAGGACGAUUUGCCUCUGGUGGUCAAAAGGAGACACAAGAAAAAUCCUGAAUUCCAUGGCUCCAUGCCCCUGGCUUUGUGAUCUGCGCAGAAAUACCAAUCUAUCAAACCUUGCUAGACCUCCUCGAUUCCAUGCUGUCUUUAAGCAAAAGUGUGAACUGGACAGAACAGUCUUCCUUCUGAACUACUGAUGGACUGCUUCCUCCUGAGUCAUACAAAACCCAGUGGUUUCCAGAAGGCUCUGGUGCUAAGUGAGUAAUGGUCAAUAGUUGUCUCAGGUGUAAAUGCCCCAUGAUUCCCAGUCAAAAGACAGAGCGAUUGUAAGAAUCAACAAAUACAACAAGAUGGGAAGGUCCAACAAUGUGCUGUCCAACAGACUCUGUGUAGCCUCAGGGCACACACAUGAAAGUGGUGAGACGGAAAAAGAUAUGCUAGGAAAAUGGCAGCCAUGAGCAGGACUGGCAUCUCGGCUUGUUUUCUGUUGCUGUAACAGAAUACCUGAGACUGAGUAAUUCACAGAGAAAAGAGGCUUGUUUGGGCUCAUGGUUUUGGAGGCUGGGAAGUCCAAGAGCAUGGAACUAGCACCUCCUCAACUCUCUGGUGGGGGUCCCAUGCUGCUUUCCAACCACAGAAGAAAGUGGAGAGCAGGGAGCCACACAUGAAAGGAAAGGGGAUGGUCCCUUCAGCAGAGCCCCUGUGCCAAGGGGAUGCUCUCCCCACACACGAACACCCGCUGGGCCACACAACGCCUCCCGCAGGCCCCUCCCACGUGGGGAGGUCACAGUGCUCCUGAACAACAGUGGGCCACAGCAAAACUCAGAGGGGACAGUUAAGAAUGUCUCCAGACAAUGACAACAGAGACCAUGCACCAAGACUUAGAGGAACAGCAAAGGAGGUCCCAAGGAAGACGCUCAGAGCAACAGAGUCGGACGCCCAAGAGAGGAGUCCAAAGAGCUCGCUACCCCCAGGGAGCAGAAGAGCCCCAAGCCAAGGCCAGAGGAGGGGAACGCGUGUCCUGGAGACGACGCUCUCGCUGUCCGAGGUGUAAAGGGUUUCUCCACUCUGCAGGCUCUGUUCACCUUCCUGGCUGCUCCCUGAGCUGUAAGGAGCUUUUUAGUUGACACCAUCCCAUUUACUGAUUCUUGGUUUUACUUCUUGCACUUUCGGAGUCUUGUUGAGGAAGUCAGUUCCUAAGCCAACCUGAUGGGGAGUUGGGCCUGCAUUUUCUUCUUGUAGGUGUAGGGUCUCUGUCUAAUUCCUAGGUCCUCAAUCCACUUUGAGUUGAGUUUGGGGCAGGGUAAGAGGUAGGGGUUCAGUUUCAUUCUGCUACGUAUGAAUUUCCGGUUUUCCCAGCACCUUGUUGAAGAGGCUGACCUCAUGUGUGGAGAUGACCUUGUCCUUUCCCAGGCCAUACGUGGUCCAAAGUCUCACAACGCUGGCAGGACAUGAGCACUUGAUCCUGGGGGCACACCCAGUCUCUGGAGUGUGCUCAGGGGUUAGGUAUUGAGAGCCAUCAUGGACUGUGUGUGGACCAAACCAGCACUGUAGCCAGUGCACAGAAGAAUCGGGUAUCUGGGAACUUCCAGCGGCAAUCCAGCUGGUCAGACUGCCCAGAUGCAUGUGACUCCUCUUUGGCUCUGCGAGGUCCCACACAGCACUGGAGAUGGGGUGCCUGCUGUAGCCACACAGCCUCUCAGAGAUGGGUGUACCCUGCCAAGAUGCCAAUCAACCUGCUGACUGCAAGACCACCCCUGAAACCGUAUCCCUGCCUUUGAUGCUCUCCCUUCAAUAAAGAAUAGGAGCCAUUUUUUAACUGUUCUAUUCCAGGUUCUACUAGGAAGCAUCUACCAGGCGCUCCCUUAAAAUACAAUUCAUUUCUUCACUAAUCACUUCAGACUUUAUUUUCUCAGGUGGCUUAUCCUUUCCCACAAUAUGAGGGAAGAUAUGGGGUGUGCCAACGUACUUUUUACUGUGCUGUUUUCAGUUUAUGAAGGCUUUGGGGGAUGGACCCCAUCAGUGGAGGAGAAUCCAUAAUAGCGUCUACAGUUGAUUUAAAUUUCUACUCACCUGGUUCCAAAUGUGUAUCUCAUUCCUCACCUCUAGAAGGGAAUCAUUAAAACUAAAAGCUGCCUUCUAGAUAAAUAACCUACCAUACACCUGUUUUAAGGGUGCUCACUGACCAGUGAAACUCAGGUGAGCAUCACGAUGCCAGCCAGGAAUGAUUAGGAAAACCUGCUCCAGCACAGAACCUGAGAGGCGCUUCCCCAAGACUAUAAAAAUCAUGGUGCUUAUUGUAUCAGGGUUCUCUAAGGAACGCAUCAGUAGGAAGUCUAUUUAUAAAAAGGGGAUUUAUUAUGUGACCAGAGGCUGGACAGUCCACAAUGGCCAUCUGCAGUCUGGACAGAAGCUGCGCAGUCCAAGAGGCUGAAGCCCCAGAACAAGCGGAAUCAACGGUGCUGCCCUAGUCUGGGACCGAAGGCUUCUGGGGAAUCCCGGGCAGAGCCGCUUUGGAAGAGUGAAGAGGCCAGAGUCCCGUGUCCUCAGACGAUGGCAGCAGCAAUCAAGAACCCAUUCAAGAAGAAUGGAGCUUGCUUCUGCUGAUGCCUCCUUGUUCUUCCAACUGCUCCUCCAUCCAAGCCAUCAUCCUAUUGGAUGGUGCUGCCCCCUCUUGGGAGGGUCUCCAUUUCAGGUGGCCGACCCACAUGCCCAUCAAAUUGGCCAUUCAAAUUGACCACUAUAGUUACAAAAAAAUUGUCUUUCACUUUUGCAGAGAACUUAACCCCGACCCUAAUGAUUUAAAAAUAUAUUUGCUAGAAUCCUACUUUUCCUUACAUGUUGAAGGGUCAAAAAUUUCAGAGUUAUGAUAGUUUAGCCAAAUAUGCAUAAGGAAGAAAAGCAAAGACAGAAUUCCACAUCAAGCAUUCCAUGUGUCGGUCCCAGGUUUAUGUUCCUGAAGGCAAAUCCCAAACCUCCAUGGUAAGGAAGGAUCUGAUCUGUGCAAUUAGGGGAGAUGAGGUUGAGAGGAUCAUGGGAAUGGGAAGAGGAGACGUGAGGAGAAACGUGACGGGGGUUCGGAGAUGCUGAGUGACACUGAGGUCCAGACAGGGCCAGCCACGUUAAGAAGCAAACAAAAUGAAAACAGGUCAGAACAGACCAUGAAGCAGGUCCUAGUCUGGACUUUCCCUUCUUCAGUUAGGCCUGUCGGUCAGCUGUCACUGUGACACAAUGCCUGAGAACAACUUUUUAAAAGGAGGAAAGAUUAGUUUGACUCCUGGUGUCAUAGGGCUCAGUCCACGGUCACUUGUUACGUUGCUUUGGGCUGAGGCAGAACAUGAUGGUGAAGGGCACAAGGUGAAGCUGAGCUUCUCCCCCACGGUGACCAGAAAGCAGGGGGGCAAGGGACACGCCCCAGUGACCUAUGUCUUCCAAAAGGGCCCCACCUCCCAAAGUGUCUGCCACUCCCACUAGCACCCAGCUGGGGACAAAGUCUUCAACACAGGAGCCCUUGGUGACAUUCCAGGCCGUGACACUAAGCUGUAAUUUUGGAAAUCAGUUUCUUUUGCCUGGUGGACACUUAGCACUGGAAGCUGGAAUUCACACUCAGAUCACAGAAAUGGGCAGCCAGCCCUCCCUUCAGCCCUCGUCAGGAGCGCCACACCGUCUCAGCUGCCCUGUGGAACACCCCGACUUUCUGGCUCAGUGGCGGGCCUGUUUUUGGUGGCUUACACCAGUUUCUACUUGAAUCUUUGCAAUAUUUACAUGGUAUCUAGGAAAGUACGAAGCUGUGCCAGUGUUUUAAAAGGCGCGAGUUACAUUUACCUUCCCCCGGCAGAAUGAUCACAUGUGGAAACAAUGCUGGAGGUCCUGUCUCCACUGGGGACAGCAUGUCCUGGCCACACUGCGGCCUGCAGGGCCGCUGAGCUGAGGCUUCCCUCUGAUUCCCCAGUGCUAUGCCAGUUCAACGUGGCCACUCGGCCCAGAGCCCUCCUGCUGGGAACAUGGUCGUGACCCACGGCACAGGAGGAGGAGAAGAGAGCUCAGGGGAAGCAUAGACUAGGUGGGAUCCCCAGAGAGGCCCAGCCCACUGCCAGGAAGGGCCCAGCCUGCUCAGCAGGAAGAUGGUCUCCCCCUCCUCCACGCAGCAGGAGACCUCCCAGGGACCCCCACUCAGGGAGGGUGUUGCUGAGUACACUCUUCCAUCCUGGUGCCGUAGCAGCCAGAAAACACCCCCAUGGGAUGCCCAAGGCGUGGUCCCCGGCCCUGUGGCCGUGUCCCCUUACACAGCAAAGGGACACUGCAGCAAUGGCUGAGGGCUGGAAAUGGGCAGAGAGUCCUGGAUCAUCCAGGUGGAGUCGGGAUCUUAUAAGAAAGAGGGAAGCGAGAAGGGACCUGGGGACAGAGUGGAG